This 70-nucleotide transfer RNA is filed under the name Symplocodes ridleyi. Its description in RNAcentral is "tRNA-Val". Lineage: Eukaryota; Metazoa; Arthropoda; Insecta; Blattodea; Blattellidae. The record is from RNAcentral.
CAAGUUAUACCUAAUAGUUAGGAGUUUUAUUUACACUAAAAUUUUAAUUGUGCAAUUCAAUGUGACUUGA